GGGAGUAGAUGGGUACUGGUGUGCCCUCUGGUCUUCAAAACCAGCACGAGGGGUUAGUAGCCUCUUGGGUAGGUUCGAUUCCUAUGUACUCCCGCCA
This 97-nucleotide transfer RNA is filed under the name Isachenkonia alkalipeptolytica. RNAcentral's name for it is "tRNA-Sec". It matches the Rfam family "Selenocysteine transfer RNA". The record is from RNAcentral. Lineage: Bacteria; Bacillati; Bacillota; Clostridia; Eubacteriales; Clostridiaceae.